This is a long non-coding RNA of Carcharodon carcharias (great white shark), 636 nucleotides long. RefSeq lists it as uncharacterized. Lineage: Eukaryota; Metazoa; Chordata; Chondrichthyes; Lamniformes; Lamnidae. The transcript is spliced from 2 exons. The record is from RefSeq and is a predicted model, not a curated record.
AAAUGAUUACACGUAACGGACCCCGAGACAAUCACCGAACACGGGGGAACUCUGAAUUCGGCGCCAGGACCCUCCGGCUGUGCUGUCAAGCCGCUUCACGAUUCACUUGAAACCUUGUGAUGUUUCACUUUCCCCUCCUGAGCCACAAUGGAUUUUGUUUUCGUGUUUUUUCGAACAGGUUUCCAGUGCAACAUGAGUAACAUGAGAUAUCACAGCAAGGGACCCAGGAGUCUUGCAAAAUCAUGAACUUACCUACGGACAUCAAAUUUGGACUUGAGGCUUUGCCUUUUCAAGACUUGGCUUUAACCAUUCAGACCUGUCGUUACCACUUGUUCUCUUCCAAGAUGAAGUGUUUGCGUUUGGAGAUACGAAAGCCACCUUUAUACUGAUUACAAAUGCUUGUGUCUCUGGUGUAAAAGCACCAUUUAAAACCACCAAGUCUGGGCAUAAUUGUUUCUGAAUUUGGAAUUGAUAAAAUAAAUUGACAUGAGUUGCUAUUUCAAUCACUCCAAGGGGAUUAGAUAAACUUCCAACUUUCAAAAAUAAAGUCAGUGGAAAAACAAUCUGUGUAUCACAAGAAAAGAAAGUUUGCUUUUGGAAGAAUAAAUUGGACACUAAUAAAUACUUUCAACCUAA